GAAAAUAGGUUUUGACGUGGGCCGCAAUUAAAAAUGAUUAAAAAGAAUUAGUGGCAAAACAAAACCAGGUAGACUCCAAGCUCGCAACACAGCGAGUGGAGCUUAGACGCGCAACGGCCAAAGUGCUCUGCUUUGCCAUGAGAACAGCGUUUUGCAAAAACUCACCAACUUCGUGAUUUAGGAGCACAUAGGCUCCCCCGAGCAAAUACGAAGUAGAUCCGAUGGACGCAUCCAUCCAUCUUCUUCCGCUUAUCAGGGGUCGGAUCGUGGGGGCAGCGGCUUAAGGAGGGACUCCCAGACAUACCCUCUCCCCAGCCACUUUGUCCAGCUCAUCCCGGGGUAUCCCAAGGCGUUCCCUGGCAGGGCCGGACUGGGAGAUUUUUUCAGGCCAUGAGUCAGUUAUGUAACCAGGCCACCCUGGCCUUGCCCACACGUGCAUGUUCACACCCACA
Molecule: long non-coding RNA, 452 nt
Organism: Syngnathus acus (greater pipefish)
Lineage: Eukaryota; Metazoa; Chordata; Actinopteri; Syngnathiformes; Syngnathidae
Exons: 2
Source: RefSeq, a predicted model, not a curated record